RNAcentral lists this long non-coding RNA (350 nucleotides) under Sus scrofa (pig). Its description in RNAcentral is "lncRNA (ENSSSCG00070005945.1)". Lineage: Eukaryota; Metazoa; Chordata; Mammalia; Artiodactyla; Suidae. The record is from RNAcentral.
AUGAGGGGCUCAAAGCUGCAGGCUCUCGGGUGUGCUGAGCCUGGAAGAGGAAACCGGAAGCCUCACGGAGGGGGCUGCUGUGGGGCGACAUGCAGACUCGGAUGCUGCUAUGAAUCGCCUUUGUCCCAUGAUCCUGUGCUCACCAGUCCUACAAUUACCCUUUUCUUCCUAGACUUUAAAGUUGGGAUCAGACACAAGGAUACUUUGAUUUCUUUACCCUACACCAGCCACAGUAUCUGAUUUAAUAUAGGAGCUUAAUAUAACUUUAAUGAGGAGAUAAAUGGAUGAAGAAAGACAGGAGUGAAGAAAUGGAGUCACUGCAAAAAUAAAACAACAAAAGGAGCUUACCA